UACGUAGGGUGCGAGCGUUGUCCGGAAUUACUGGGCGUAAAGGGCGCGUAGGCGGCGCGGUAAGUCACUUGUGAAAUCUCUGAGCUUAACUCAGAACGGCCAAGUGAUACUGCAGUGCUAGAGUGCAGAAAGGGCAAUCGGAAUUCUUGGUGUAGCGGUGAAAUGCGUAGAUAUCAAGAGGAACACCUGAGGCGAAGGCGGGUUGCUAGGCUGACACUGACGCUGAGGCGCGAAAGCCAGGGGAGCAAACGGG
RNAcentral lists this ribosomal RNA (253 nucleotides) under uncultured bacterium. Its description in RNAcentral is "partial 16S ribosomal RNA". It matches the Rfam family "Bacterial small subunit ribosomal RNA", at positions 524 to 776 of the family's 1533-position model. The record is from RNAcentral.